Molecule: ribosomal RNA, 444 nt
Filed under: Pseudomonas sp. AE_142
Lineage: Bacteria; Pseudomonadati; Pseudomonadota; Gammaproteobacteria; Pseudomonadales; Pseudomonadaceae
Description: bacterial SSU rRNA
Rfam family: Bacterial small subunit ribosomal RNA
Source: RNAcentral
UCGGCUCAGAUUGAACGCUGGCGGCAGGCCUAACACAUGCAAGUCGAGCGGAUGACGGGAGCUUGCUCCUUGAUUCAGCGGCGGACGGGUGAGUAAUGCCUAGGAAUCUGCCUGGUAGUGGGGGACAACGUUUCGAAAGGAACGCUAAUACCGCAUACGUCCUACGGGAGAAAGCAGGGGACCUUCGGGCCUUGCGCUAUCAGAUGAGCCUAGGUCGGAUUAGCUAGUUGGUGGGGUAAUGGCUCACCAAGGCGACGAUCCGUAACUGGUCUGAGAGGAUGAUCAGUCACACUGGAACUGAGACACGGUCCAGACUCCUACGGGAGGCAGCAGUGGGGAAUAUUGGACAAUGGGCGAAAGCCUGAUCCAGCCAUGCCGCGUGUGUGAAGAAGGUCUUCGGAUUGUAGAGCACUUUAAGUUGGGAGGAAGGGCAGUAAAGUUAAU